GACAGCAGUAGCCACGGUAAUACGAAGGGGGCUAGCGUUGUUCGGAAUUACUGGGCGUAAAGCGCACGUAGGCGGAUAUUUAAGUCAGGGGUGAAAUCCCGCAGCUCAACUGCGGAACUGCCUUUGAUACUGGGUAUCUUGAGUAUGGAAGAGGUUAGUGGAAUUGCGAGUGUAGAGGUGAAAUUCGUAGAUAUUCGCAGGAACACCAGUGGCGAAGGCGGCUAACUGGUCCAUAACUGACGCUGAGGUGCGAAAGCGUGGGGAGCAAACAGGAUUAGAUACCCCUGUAGUCCCUGUCUCUUAUAC
Molecule: ribosomal RNA, 306 nt
Filed under: uncultured bacterium
Lineage: Bacteria
Description: partial 16S ribosomal RNA
Rfam family: Bacterial small subunit ribosomal RNA
Source: RNAcentral